GGCCAGACUCCUACGGGAGGCAGCAGUGGGAAAUAUUGGGCAAUGGGCGCAAGCCUGACCCAGCAACGCCGCGUGAAGGAAGAAGGCUUUCGGGUUGUAAACUUCUUUUAAGAGGGAAGAGUAGAAGACGGUACCUCUUGAAUAAGCCACGGCUAACUACGUGCCAGCAGCCGCGGUAAUACGUAGGUGGCAAGCGUUAUCCGGAUUUACUGGGUGUAAAGGGCGUGUAGGCGGGACUGCAAGUCAGAUGUGAAAACCACGGGCUCAACCUGUGGCCUGCAUUUGAAACUGUAGUUCUUGAGUACUGGAGAGGCAGACGGAAUUCCUAGUGUAGCGGUGAAAUGCGUAGAUAUUAGGAGGAACACCAGUGGCGAAGGCGGCCUGCUGGACCGUGACUGACGUUGAGGCUCGAGAGCGUGGGGAGCAAACAGGAUUAGAUACCCUUGUAC
RNAcentral lists this ribosomal RNA (449 nucleotides) under uncultured bacterium. RNAcentral's name for it is "bacterial SSU rRNA". It matches the Rfam family "Bacterial small subunit ribosomal RNA", at positions 329 to 793 of the family's 1533-position model. The record is from RNAcentral.